GAAAUGCGAUAAGUAGUGUGAAUUGCAGAAUUCAGUGAAUCAUCGAAUCUUUGAACGCACAUUGCGCCCUUUGGUAUUCCUUAGGGCAUGCCUGUUCGAGCGUCAUCUAAACCUUCAAGCCCUGCUUGGUGUUGGGUGCCUGUCCCGCCUCCGCGCGCGGACUCACCUCAAAUCCAUUGGCGGCCCCCGCGUCCGCCACGAGCGCAGCAGAAACGCGAACUCGUGAGCCCGUCCGGGCGGCUCCCAGAAGCUACACCCACCCAGUUUGACCUCGGAUCAGGUAGGGAUACCCGCUGAACUUAAGC
Molecule: unclassified non-coding RNA, 305 nt
Filed under: plant metagenome
Description: partial contains 5.8S ribosomal RNA, internal transcribed spacer 2, and large subunit ribosomal RNA
Rfam family: 5.8S ribosomal RNA (bases 1-105)
Source: RNAcentral